RNAcentral lists this unclassified non-coding RNA (179 nucleotides) under uncultured Mucoromycotina. RNAcentral's name for it is "sequence contains ITS1". Lineage: Eukaryota; Fungi. The record is from RNAcentral.
CAAUAAGUGUUUUAUGGCACUUUUUAAACAAUCCAUAUCCACCUUGUGUGCAACGUUUUGAGACCGUCUAUCGUCACCUUUUGGGGUGAUGGAAGGCGGAACCUCUAUAAUUUACCAACAUCACCUUUAACUUAUUUGUCUGAACAUUUGUUAUCACGAAUUAACUUAAUUCGAAAAUA